AUUGAACGCUGGCGGCAUGCCUUACACAUGCAAGUCGAACGGCAGCGGACCUUCGGGUGCCGGCGAGUGGCGAACGGGUGAGUAAUAUAUCGGAACGUACCUUUCAGUGGGGGAUAACGUAGCGAAAGUUACGCUAAUACCGCAUAUUCUGUGAGCAGGAAAGCAGGGGAUCGCAAGACCUUGCGCUGAUUGAGCGGCCGAUGUCAGAUUAGCUAGUUGGUGGGGUAAAGGCCUACCAAGGCUACGAUCUGUAGCGGGUCUGAGAGGAUGAUCCGCCACACUGGAACUGAGGCACGGUCCAGACUCCUACGGGAGGCAGCAGUGGGGAAUUUUGGACAAUGGGGGCAACCCUGAUCCAGCCAUGCCGCGUGAGUGAAGAAGGCCUGGUGUAAG
Molecule: ribosomal RNA, 393 nt
Filed under: uncultured bacterium
Lineage: Bacteria
Description: bacterial SSU rRNA
Rfam family: Bacterial small subunit ribosomal RNA
Source: RNAcentral